GGGCCCGCACAAGCGGUGGAGCAUGUGGUUUAAUUCGAUGCAACGCGAAGAACCUUACCUACUCUUGACAUCCACGGAAUUCGCUAGAGAUAGCUUAGUGCCUUCGGGAACCGUGAGACAGGUGCUGCAUGGCUGUCGUCAGCUCGUGUUGUGAAAUGUUGGGUUAAGUCCCGCAACGAGCGCAACCCUUAUCCUUUGUUGCCAGCACGUAAUGGUGGGAACUCAAAGGAGACUGCCGGUGAUAAACCGGAGGAAGGUGGGG
Molecule: ribosomal RNA, 262 nt
Filed under: uncultured prokaryote
Description: partial 16S ribosomal RNA
Rfam family: Bacterial small subunit ribosomal RNA
Source: RNAcentral